GGGCGAUUAGCUCAGUUGGUUAGAGUACUUGCUUGACAUGCAAGGGGUCACUGGUUCGAGUCCAGUAUCGCCCACCA
RNAcentral lists this transfer RNA (77 nucleotides) under Candidatus Fermentibacterota bacterium. Its description in RNAcentral is "tRNA-Val". It matches the Rfam family "tRNA". From Rfam's summary of the family: Transfer RNA (tRNA) molecules are approximately 80 nucleotides in length. The record is from RNAcentral. RNAcentral also lists the same sequence under 1 other name. Lineage: Bacteria; Pseudomonadati; Candidatus Fermentibacterota.